This 497-nucleotide ribosomal RNA is filed under the name uncultured bacterium. RNAcentral describes it as "partial 16S ribosomal RNA". It matches the Rfam family "Bacterial small subunit ribosomal RNA", at positions 28 to 507 of the family's 1533-position model. The record is from RNAcentral.
GACGAACGCUGGCGGCGUGCCUAAUACAUGCCAGUAGAACGCUGAAGAGAGGAGCUUGCUCUUCUUGGAUGAGUUGCGAACGGGUGAGUAACGCGUAGGUAACCUGCCUGGUAGCGGGGGAUAACUAUUGGAAACGAUAGCUAAUACCGCAUAAUAGUAGAUGUUGCAUGACAUUUGCUUAAAAGGUGCAAUUGCAUCACUACCAGAUGGACCUGCGUUGUAUUAGCUAGUUGGUGAGGUAACGGCUCACCAAGGCAACGAUACAUAGCCGACCUGAGAGGGUGAUCGGCCACACUGGGACUGAGACACGGCCCAGACUCCUACGGGAGGCAGCAGUAGGGAAUCUUCGGCAAUGGACGGAAGUCUGACCGAGCAACGCCGCGUGAGUGAAGAAGGGUUUCGGAUCGUAAAGCUCUGUUGUAAGAGAAGAACGAGUGUGAGAGUGGAAAGUUCACACUGUGACGGUAUCUUACCAGAAAGGGACGGCUAACUACGUG